AACAUCGCGCACCUGCGGGAACCUGCGGAAGGAUCAUUACACAUUCGGGGCGCUCCGGCGCUCCUUAUACACCCACCCUCUGCCUACGUGUACCUCUAUAGCUUCCUCGGCGGGCUCGCCCGCCGCCAGGAACCCACGAAACCCCUUGCAUUAUACGCGAAAACUUCUGAUAACAAACCUAAAUUAUCACAACUUUUAACAAUGGAUCU
This 209-nucleotide unclassified non-coding RNA is filed under the name soil metagenome. RNAcentral's name for it is "partial contains 5.8S ribosomal RNA, internal transcribed spacer 2, and large subunit ribosomal RNA". The record is from RNAcentral.